GCCGGGUCCCGGAGGCCGCCGCCGCCAGCGCCCUCUGCCGAAGGCGACAGGAGUCUGUGAGCGGCGAUCCGCUGGUGCGCCGCUGGUGCCAGCUGCUGGCCAGCCGCGGCGCGCUGGUCCAGCUGUGUCUGCAGCGCGCUGUGCUGACCGACGCCCAGCAGUCUGCGCUGGUGCAGGUCAGCGGCGGUGGCUCGGCGCUGCUGCUGUUCUCUGUCGGCUGCCCCGGCCCCGGGU
This is a long non-coding RNA of Amphibalanus amphitrite, 234 nucleotides long. RefSeq lists it as uncharacterized. The transcript has 3 exons. The record is from RefSeq and is a predicted model, not a curated record. NCBI's taxonomy places the organism in Eukaryota, Metazoa, Arthropoda, Thecostraca, Balanomorpha, Balanidae.